UGGGGAAUAUUGCACAAUGGGCGCAAGCCUGAUGCAGCCAUGCCGCGUGUGUGAAGAAGGCCUUCGGGUUGUAAAGCACUUUCAGCGAGGAGGAAGGUGGUGAACUUAAUACGUUCAUCAAUUGACGUUACUCGCAGAAGAAGCACCGGCUAACUCCGUGCCAGCAGCCGCGGUAAUACGGAGGGUGCAAGCGUUAAUCGGAAUUACUGGGCGUAAAGCGCACGCAGGCGGUUUGUUAAGUCAGAUGUGAAAUCCCCGGGCUCAACCUGGGAACUGCAUUUGAAACUGGCAAGCUAGAGUCUCGUAGAGGGGGGCUAGAAUUCCAGGUGUAGCGGUGAAAUGCGUAGAGAUCUGGAGGAAUACCGGUGGCGAAGGC
RNAcentral lists this ribosomal RNA (376 nucleotides) under uncultured bacterium. RNAcentral's name for it is "partial 16S ribosomal RNA". It matches the Rfam family "Bacterial small subunit ribosomal RNA", at positions 355 to 722 of the family's 1533-position model. The record is from RNAcentral.